RNAcentral lists this ribosomal RNA (475 nucleotides) under uncultured organism. Its description in RNAcentral is "partial 16S ribosomal RNA". It matches the Rfam family "Bacterial small subunit ribosomal RNA", at positions 335 to 801 of the family's 1533-position model. The record is from RNAcentral.
ACUCCUGCGGGAGGCAGCAGUGGGGAAUUUUGGACAAUGGGCGCAAGCCUGAUCCAGCCAUGCCGCGUGCGGGAAGAAGGCCUUCGGGUUGUAAACCGCUUUUGUCAGGGAAGAAAAGGUUCUGGCUAAUACCUGGGACUCAUGACGGUACCUGAAGAAUAAGCACCGGCUAACUACGUGCCAGCAGCCGCGGUAAUACGUAGGGUGCAAGCGUUAAUCGGAAUUACUGGGCGUAAAGCGUGCGCAGGCGGUUAUGCAAGACAGAGGUGAAAUCCCCGGGCUCAACCUGGGAACUGCCUUUGUGACUGCAUGGCUAGAGUACGGUAGAGGGGGAUGGAAUUCCGCGUGUAGCAGUGAAAUGCGUAGAUAUGCGGAGGAACACCGAUGGCGAAGGCAAUCCCCUGGACCUGUACUGACGCUCAUGCACGAAAGCGUGGGGAGCAAACAGGAUUAGAAACCCCUGUAGUCCCAUGAU